AAAAGGUUCUUAAGAAGAAAUUAAGCAGUUUUUUGGGGUUUGUUCAAGGUUACAAGGACAAUACGAUUCAUUAUUUUAGGAGCCAAGCUGUGAACAGUUUUGUGGAUUAAAAACAAAAAAAUUUACACCAAAAGCACACUUACAAUUCUUUAAUUUUCCCAAAAAUUGACAUUGUGCCUCAUAAACCGUUUUUUUUUUGCCAGUCAGGUUGUAAGGAGCAGUAAAGCCACUUGAUGAAGUAAGUUAACAGCUUUAUACAGGACUGAAGUAGCAUUAGCAUUAGCCUCUAACCACGCUAAGCGCUAACUCUUUCGCCAUUCAGAGGUUCAUAUUAUCGGACUGUAGCCUGCUGUUAACCCUGGCUAGCACUGCAGAAGCAGUAUUAGCAUUAUCCUCUAACAGUGCUAGCUCUUUUGCCAUUUAGAGAAAAGAAGGAAGCUGCAGAUGUUGAGGAUGUCUCGGCUGGUCGACUCUCUCUGGGGGUCCAUACGCUUCCAGAACAUGACGCUCUCAGACUCGCAGUCUCCACAACACGUUUCCUCAGCUAUACUCAUCUGGCACGGACGACCCGCAGAUCCUUUCCUCCAGAAACCCGGCGUCCAGUUCCCACGGCCUGCGCAGCUACAUAGAGGUCAGCGUCAGUACGUGGGCAGGACUAAUCAUUUUGCCCAGUCUUGUGGUCAGCCCGGUUGGGUGGUCUAUGGCCCUUAGCGAGUAAGGGCCGUAGAAACAGGGUCCUGCUGGGAAUGGAAUUCCAUUUCUAUGGUGAAGACAGAUGUAGUGGUCUGUCAGAAGUUUGGGAAAUUUUGGGCCUUAUUUACAAACUUUUCUUAGAAAGAAAUUAAGCCAUUUUUACAUCGAUUCUGAAUUCACUAUUUAUUUCUUUUUUUAUUUAUUUGGGGUGUGUUCAAUGUUACGAGAACAUUGGGAUCCGUCAUUUUAGAAGACAAGCUGUGAACUAGUGAAUGGACUUUUUGCUCUUACAUAUCUGUGAUUGGUUUGGUGAAUACUUGAAGAAAGUUUGGUUGAGAGGGAGUAAUGUUUUUCAGGUACUGGGCUAGACCAGACCCCUUAGUUCACUAGGUAAGGGUGAAAUUUUGGUUGACCAUAUUGUUUAUUGGGUAAGUGAGAUAAAAACAAUAUUGUUAGCAAAGUAUUGUUAUAAUAUUGUUAUUAGGGCUAUGUAUUGUAAUAAUAUUAUCAGGGCUAUGUAUUGUUAUAAUAUAGACAAUGACAUCUCUAUCAAUCUGGAUGGAGAGAUUUAUCUGGACAGGGUUUUUUUUUAAUGAUGAAAAGCUGAAAUGAAAUUAAGUUUAAAUUAAAUAGGAGUAAGAGGCUAUUUUUAAAAUCAAAGGAA
This 1357-nucleotide long non-coding RNA is filed under the name Astyanax mexicanus (Mexican tetra). RNAcentral describes it as "lncRNA (ENSAMXG00005017529.1)". The record is from RNAcentral. Lineage: Eukaryota; Metazoa; Chordata; Actinopteri; Characiformes; Acestrorhamphidae.